This 71-nucleotide transfer RNA is filed under the name Planctomycetota bacterium. Its description in RNAcentral is "tRNA-Ser". It matches the Rfam family "tRNA". From Rfam's summary of the family: Transfer RNA (tRNA) molecules are approximately 80 nucleotides in length. Their secondary structure includes four short double-helical elements and three loops (D, anti-codon, and T loops). The record is from RNAcentral. Lineage: Bacteria; Pseudomonadati; Planctomycetota.
GCCUUGAUCGUCUAGCGGUAGGACGCCCGUUUUGAAAGCGGGAAAUGCGGGUUCGAUUCCCGCGAAGGGCA